RNAcentral lists this transfer RNA (67 nucleotides) under Brookesia antoetrae. RNAcentral describes it as "tRNA-Tyr". Lineage: Eukaryota; Metazoa; Chordata; Lepidosauria; Squamata; Chamaeleonidae. The record is from RNAcentral.
UGGGGAGGGUGGAGUAAGACCACUUAAGCAAAUUUACAGUUUGCCGCCUAAAUUCGGCCACCUAACC